GCGAACUCCGGGAAGGCCGGCGGGGGAAGAGGGGGGGUGGAGUCGGUAAUCGGAAUGACUGGGCGUAAAGGUCGUGUAGGCGGGUAAAUAAGUAAGAAGUGAAAUCCAAUAGCGCAACUAUUGAACUGCUGUUGAAACUGUAUACCUAGAAGGUGGGAGAGGCAGAUGGAAUUUCUGGUGUAGGGGUAAAAUCCGUAGAGAUCAGAAGGAAUACCGAUUGCGAAGGCGAUCUACUGGAACAUUAUUGACGCUGAGAUGCGAAAGCGUGGGGAGCAAACAGGAUUAGAUACCCUAGUAGUC
Molecule: ribosomal RNA, 300 nt
Filed under: uncultured Marinobacter sp.
Lineage: Bacteria; Pseudomonadati; Pseudomonadota; Gammaproteobacteria; Pseudomonadales; Marinobacteraceae
Description: bacterial SSU rRNA
Rfam family: Bacterial small subunit ribosomal RNA
Source: RNAcentral